GAGGAGGGCUGGGGCGGAGGCUGGGCGGGAGGAUGAGUACGUGGUCCCCGCAGGUUCUGGAUGGACGUGCGAAUUGACACGCAAUUGAACCUGAAAGUCAUAGUGGUGUAAGACAGCAAGUAGCCACAGGGACUGGGAAUGAGAAUGAGAACCACCUCCUUGAAGGCUUGCAAUUCAAGAGAAAAACACCCAGGUCCUUGAGAAGACAGUUCUCAGUGGUCAUGUGUCCAGAGUUGGUUCCUUCUGGUGGGUUCUUGGCCUCACUGACUUCAAGAAUGAAGUCAUGGACCUUUGUGCCCAAAAUGGAGUUAAUCCUGACUGGGAGAAGAAAGUAAUUGAAUAUUUUAAGGAAAAGCUGAAGGAAAAUAAUGCUCCUAAGUGGGUACCAUCACUGAAUGAAGUUCCCCUUCAUUAUUUGAAACCUAAUAGUUUUGUGAAAUUUCGUUGCAUGAUUCAGGAUAUGUUUGACCCUGAGUUUUACAUGGGAGUUUACGAAACGGUUAACCAAAACACA
RNAcentral lists this small RNA (514 nucleotides) under Pongo abelii (Sumatran orangutan). RNAcentral describes it as "processed transcript". Lineage: Eukaryota; Metazoa; Chordata; Mammalia; Primates; Hominidae. The record is from RNAcentral.